GAUGAACGCUAACGGCAGGCCUAACACAUGCAAGUCGUGGGGUAGCAGGAUUAAGCUUGCUUAAUUGCUGACGACCGGCGCACGGGUGCGUAACGCGUAUGCAACCUACCUUAUACUGGGGUAUAGCCCGGAGAAAUUCGGAUUAAUCCCCCAUAGUACUAAUGAAUCGCAUGGUUUAUUAGUUAAAGCAUUGCGGUAUAAGAUGGGCAUGCGUACUAUUAGCUAGAUGGUGAGGUAACGGCUCACCAUGGCUACGAUAGGUAGGGGGCCUGGGAUGGUGGGACCCCACACUGGUACUGAGACACGGACCAGACUCCUACGGGAGGCAGCAGUGAGGAAUAUUGGUCAAUGGUCGCAAGCCUGAACCAGCCAUGCCGCGUGCAGGAAGAAUGCCCUAUGGGUUGUAAACUGCUUUUAUUUGGGAAUAAACCUCUUUACGUGUAGAGAGCUGAAGGUACCAAAUGAAUAAGCACCGGCCAACUCCGUGCCAGCCGCCGCAGUAA
This 503-nucleotide ribosomal RNA is filed under the name uncultured bacterium. RNAcentral's name for it is "partial 16S ribosomal RNA". It matches the Rfam family "Bacterial small subunit ribosomal RNA", at positions 28 to 523 of the family's 1533-position model. The record is from RNAcentral.